AGCGAACGCUGGCGGCAGGCCUAACACAUGCAAGUCGAACGAACCUUUCGGGGGUAGUGGCGGACGGGUGUGUAACACGUGGGAACGUGCCGUUAGGUUCGGAAUAACUCAGUGACGCUUGGGCUAAUACCGAAUGUGUCCUUCGGGGGAAAGAUUAAUCGCCUUUAGAGCGGCCCGCGUUCGAUUAGCUAGUUGGUUGAGGUAAUGGCGCACCAAGGCGACGAUCAGUAGCUGGUCUGAGAGGAUGAUCAGCCACAUUGGGACUGAGACACGGCCCGAACUACUACGGGAGGCAGCAGUGGGGAAUCUUGCGCAAUGGGCGAAAGCCUGAAGCAGCCAUGCCGCGUGAAUGAUGAAGGUCUUAGGAUUGUAAAAUUCUUUCACCGGGGACGAUAAUGACGGUACCCGGAGAAGAAGCCCCGGCUAACUUCGUG
RNAcentral lists this ribosomal RNA (434 nucleotides) under uncultured bacterium. RNAcentral describes it as "partial 16S ribosomal RNA". It matches the Rfam family "Bacterial small subunit ribosomal RNA", at positions 29 to 507 of the family's 1533-position model. The record is from RNAcentral.